CUGGUGUCACUCUCGGAAGUUGUACAGUUCUUGAGGCUGCUGGAGAUGGUGCUCUCCCAAUACUUAACAAUGUUUUGGAAUCUGGCAUCUCAAAUGUGACAGACACUAAGAAAGUCAUCUGGCUUCACUUGGGGGUCAAUAGUGGUUCGACGAGGUUUGCUAUUGAAUGGCAAGCUGUGAAUGAAGCUACUUUCCGUUAUGCAGACGAACUCGGAUGGCAACCUCAGAGACUUCCAAUAGUCUCCGAGGAUGGGGAAAUCUCAAUGAUUAGAAAGACAUCCUGCUCGGCUCUGGCGAUCUUAGAGAAGUUGAAGGCGAAAAGCUACAAUGUGAUGUUAUCAGAG
RNAcentral lists this unclassified non-coding RNA (344 nucleotides) under Hevea brasiliensis (rubber tree). Lineage: Eukaryota; Viridiplantae; Streptophyta; Magnoliopsida; Malpighiales; Euphorbiaceae. The record is from RNAcentral.